CGUUACAGAAAAACUGCAGGGGGAGACGGUCCUUCACCGAGCUGCGUCCCUGUGUCAAAGAACUAUCUGUCAUUAUCUGGUUGAAGCAGGAGCCUCGCUCAUGAAGACAGACCUACAGGAGGAGCUGUGCCGGCUGCAAACGGAGAACCAGCUGGCCAAGGAGGAGGUGAAGGAGGUGCUGCAGGCGCUGGAGGAGCUCGCCGUCAACUACGAGCAGAAGAGGCAAGAGGUGGAGGGGAGAGAUCAGACCAACCUGCAGCACGAGACGGUACAGAUAUGUUUCAGGAGAAAGUGUUUAAAGUCUGCAUCUUGACUUCUGCAUCAUCAUCAUCAGCAGUGACGUCAACACAGCUGAGAAACUACUUCAGUUAGAAGAGUCAGAUUUGAUACACUGAAGCAGACAUGAACAUUAACUCACAGCUAACACAUCACACCACAUGUUCUGUCCAGACUGCUGAAUGAUCAGAGGGAAAACCAAACAUUCAAUCAUUCAGCUUAACCAACAAGGCAGAUCCAGGUACCGGCCGCAGCGGCACUCGAACACCAUUUAAAGUGUCUAAAGAGGGUAGUGUUGUAGUCAUGACUACACUAAGACCAAGACCACAAAUAUCUGUGUGUGCAGGUUUUAACACCGGGAAGGUUGUGGUCGUAACCGGGGGAUAAAAAUCGAACUACAAAUGGAGUUUGAAGUUAUUUCUUGUUUUUUCCUUCUAGUCCCAGACCGAGACCUUCAAGGAGUCUCAAGGAGUCUCAAGGAGCACAUGAGGGUGUUCCAGGACUUCUGAUUGGCCCUUCUUAUUGUUUCUGUUAACAAUGCUGAGGUUACCAAACCAACAGAUCUCAGUAAAAGAAUGAAUGUUGUUUGAUCACCUGUCUGUUUCUCUCAUCGGUCUUCUUAUAUCUGUCAAUCUGUAACUCUGGAUUUAUCAACAGGAAGUGCUCUGGAUAUGCAACAGGAAGUGCUCUGGAUUUAUCAACAGGAAGUGCUCUGGAGUGCAACAGGAAGUGCUCUGGAUUUAUCAACAGGAAGUGCUCUGGAGUGCAACAGGAAGUGCUCUGGAUUUAUCAAGAGGAAGUUGAGGGUUCUUUCUUUCUUUAAUCUUCAAGGCAGCAACAGAGAUGAGCUGCACCUGAAGGGAGCAAAGAGAUGGUCCGAGUCCGUCAGCCAAUCAGUGACUCUGUUGAUUUAUUCACCAGAUUGAAGAAGGAGUGAAAACUACAAAACACAAGAACAUUUAGUUUAGUCAUUACCAAAGUUCUAGAUAAAUUCAAACAAUAAACUAAUGCUAAGCUACAUGCUAAUGCUAAGCUACAUGCUAAGCUAAACUUACAUCUCUGUUGCUGCCUGCUUGAAGAUUAAAGAAAGAACCCUCAACUUCCUGUUUCCUUUAUAACUUCCUGUUCCCUUUAUAACUUCCUGUUUCCUUUAUAACUUCCUGUUUCCUUUAUAACUUCCUGUUCCCUUUAUAACUUCCUGUUUCCUGAAUGAUCCAGAGAGAGGAGAGGUGUUCUUGGUGUUAACAUAUAUAAUAAAUCAAAUCUGAUGUCAUGGUGGGAACAAUGGACCAUUAAUGAAUUUAGGUUAGUAUGUUGUUUAAAAAAAAAAAGUUAGUGAGUAAAUUAUAAGAUUUGAACCCUCCAUCUCCAGACACAGCGGGAUUCAAACCCAGGCUCACCACUUACAGAUCUUGGAAUCCUCAAUCUUAUCCACUACACUACUGAUAACUUCACUCUAUGUCAUGAGCUCCGGGCGUAUUUAUCAUCGUCAUUUCAGAUGUUAGACUUUAAAAUUUACCCCGAUGAGAUUCAAACCCACGACCUCCAGACUCCAAGUCCUCGUUCUAUCUCCUGAGCCACAGAGACAGAUACUUGACUCUGAUUCUCAGAUCUCUUGAGUCUUUCCUUUGGACCAACACCUUUAAGAUAAUGGUGUGUGUGUGGUCGUCUGAGAAACUCUGUCUUUGAGUGUUUCCUGUGGAUCCAUACUGGCAGGUUGCUUCACUAUGUUCCUCUUGAGUCUUUCAUUUAGGACCGACACCUUUAAAAUUCACUGAGUCCUGAUAAGAUUCGAACCCACGACCUCCAGACUCCAAGUCCUCCUUCUAUCUCCUGAGCCACAGAGACAGAUACAGACUCUGUGUCUCAUGCUGGAUCUGUUUGUUGUUUUGUUCAAGUCUCAGAUUUCUUUUAAAUAUAUGUUAAAUAAAUGAUUUAUUGGGGGGGGGGGGGGGACGUCCUGCAUCUGUUUGGCUUCCUGGCUUGGCAGACAGUACUACCUCAAACUACCUCAUGUUUACUUCAGCAUCUCUCCACUAUUAUCCUGUUUAGCCUUGUACAUAUUAGUCUUUGAUUAUUGUUGAUAUUUAAUAUUAUACUUUUGUACAAAGAGAGCACAGUUUAUAAAAGUUAAACUCCUCGUGUGUUUAAGAAUACCUGACCAAUAAAGCUGAUUCUGAAGGAUUUCUGUGGCUUUGAUAACUGUUGGAAACAUUAUUUUGGUCCAUUA
Labrus mixtus (cuckoo wrasse) is the source of this 2506-nucleotide long non-coding RNA. RefSeq lists it as uncharacterized. The transcript is spliced from 4 exons. The record is from RefSeq and is a predicted model, not a curated record. Lineage: Eukaryota; Metazoa; Chordata; Actinopteri; Labriformes; Labridae.